Hypanus sabinus (Atlantic stingray) is the source of this 281-nucleotide long non-coding RNA. RefSeq lists it as uncharacterized. The record is from RefSeq and is a predicted model, not a curated record. Lineage: Eukaryota; Metazoa; Chordata; Chondrichthyes; Myliobatiformes; Dasyatidae. The transcript is spliced from 3 exons.
CAAAGAAGGUGCUAGGAAAACCAGGUCUCACAGGAACAACGACAACUCAUUUGAUACUGCUCAACUUCUGAGUUCUUCUGGGAAAAUAGGUGUUACUCCAGAUUCCAGCAUCUACAGCCUCUUGUUUCUCUAGGACUCCAUCAAUGGCAUCCAGGAGUCACCAGUCUGAGUGAAUGCAUUGGUUCGCCAUGCAGAUGCCCACUGACCAUUGCUUCACCAUCGUCUUUAAGGGCCAGAAGGAGAACAUGAACCUGGUGGCCACCUAUGCCAAGGGGGCCUGG